GUAGGAUCAAGACGUUGCAGCAAAACUGCUACUUCUGUGGGUCGUAGCUCUUCAAGCCUAUUUUUCUAAUUGCAACACCUUUUUAUAAUGGGCCAUGUNNGCCUGCACCUCUUCUUCCCAUUGCAGCCAAGGAAGUGAAAAGCCAGCCAAAUAAAUUGAAGAUUUAAUCACCAGGCCAUGAUUCUUCUCACCGCUGGACCACCCUUCUUUUUUAUGUAACCCGUGUGCCUUUCUUAUAAGUGGCAGCCUUGCCCUUAAUUGAAUCAACCAAUUCUGGAUGUGUUGCCAUCUGCUGGGCCUUGCUGGACAUGCUACACACACCUCCAAGCUGGACAAUGAAAGCCUCCUAAGUUGCUGCCCAAGGCGUGC
This 369-nucleotide long non-coding RNA is filed under the name Vigna radiata. Its description in RNAcentral is "long non-coding RNA (VRAD_LNC006162)". The record is from RNAcentral. Lineage: Eukaryota; Viridiplantae; Streptophyta; Magnoliopsida; Fabales; Fabaceae.